CUGAGAACAAAGGAUCCACUGCACAGAUGGUCAAUUACCGGUUCGCAACAUUGUUGCAACCGGUAAUUGAAGGCACACUUCACACUGGGGAGGUCUGACUGUUCGGUAGUUUCAUUCCCAUAAUUGCUAGAAUGUUUCUACCGAACAAUCAGACGAAUACUGCAUACAUUUCCACAUAUUACCUUGCAAUUUAACCAAAGACAUUAAAAUACAUGAAAGUACCUUAAAAGACACAAAUUGUGAUAGUUCAAUGUCCUUUGCUGCAUAAGGUAUAUAGUCCGAAGUCUCUGUAAUAGUACUUAGCUAGGUCUUAAAGGGCCGGUAGUGCCAAACAAAAUCCCAUUAAUUCCAGCCAUUGUACUUAAAGGGGUCCUAUCUUUCUGGGGCCAUAAUCACUGGGCAGGAGGUGCGCCAGCAGCCCCCUCCAGGAAACUGGGGCGUAC
This is a non-coding RNA of Pelobates cultripes (western spadefoot toad), 443 nucleotides long. NCBI's taxonomy places the organism in Eukaryota, Metazoa, Chordata, Amphibia, Anura, Pelobatidae. The record is from the annotation of a GenBank genome assembly.